Molecule: long non-coding RNA, 1725 nt
Organism: Musa acuminata AAA Group (dessert banana)
Lineage: Eukaryota; Viridiplantae; Streptophyta; Magnoliopsida; Zingiberales; Musaceae
Exons: 2
Source: RefSeq, a predicted model, not a curated record
UGGAAACUACUCAGGUACAAGGGGAAAGCGAACAUUAAUAUAAGUUGCAGCAUAUCUAAGGGACAAAUGGAAGUGCCAAAUAAAAAUCUGUCAAGGAGGCUCCUUACCCAUGUAGAAGUUAUGUGAUUAGACAAUCUUUUAUAACCUGCCAUGAGCAUUAGACUUUUUAUGGCCAAGUUGCAAUAGGUAGUCGUCUCAACUUUGAAACAACAGAAGAACUUGGUUUUAUUGGCACUACUCACUACCUAGGUUAUUUGGAUUGUCUAGUUAACUGAGUGCUCACCUUCGUUGAUAAUUCUGGAUGGUCUGUUAAGAGUUCCUGCAUCGUCAUUGACUCAAGUUGUAAGCUUACUGACAUUUUUAGUUGACCUUCCAGUUCUGUUGCACCACUGGCUUUACUGAACUCAUGCGUUCAUCUUAGGUUAAUACUUGUAGAAAUACAGACUAAGAUGCUCAUUGAAUGUGCAUCUGUUUCUUGACAGUGGAUGCAGACUGUACCUGUGUUUACACCUUUCAGUAUAUGUUUGACUUUAGGCUUUUGUGUUUGCCAUUAGGGUGAAUGUGAAUCUAGUGCACAAGAAAUUUGUGGGUCAAUAUAUGGAGCCUUACAUCUACAAGUAAAGAGAUCGCUUCCAUGACUUAAAACCUGGUCACCCAAGUUGCAAGGUGCAACCUUGCUGCCCUCGUAUUUACCUUAAGAAAAAUGACAUGUGUUGAUCUAUUUUUUCCUGUGGAAAAUGUCAAAAUACUUUAUUUAAUUUUUGAAUCACAAUUUUAAACCUAUUUCCACAUUGACCCUCUAUUAAACCUGAGCCUCAUGCACUAGGUCAUAUUUUAUUUAUUUUUCAAAGUUCUAUACUAAUUAAAUAGCUCAUUCCAAUGAUUAUAUUGUAAAUGGGCUAUGGAAUUAAUCUAUGAUACCAUUAUGUGCUCAUCCACAAGCAUCUUAGUUGUAUGUCAUUUGGUCCUACAUAGACAAGCUUUUGUACUAAGGUGCACUUAGUUUUGGAUUAUGUAGUUGCUGGUUAAAUUUGAAAGCUGUAUACUCUUUUUUCUUCAAUAUUUUUUUCUCAUCCACUUUUUCUUUGUACUAGAUACCAUUACCUAAUGCUGCAGAUGAUCAUCAAACAAAGAAUGCAUACAUUAUGGCAGACAUAGCAGGAUCAAAGGUCCUUACGGAAGAUGAGCUUGAUUCUAGUAGUCUCGAAGAGGCAAUUGAUGAUAUUUUAGGAAAUGAAAGUCUCAUGGCUGAGAUGUCCGAGAGGGCACUGAGUGCUGCACGUCCUGAUGCUGCAUCUGAUAUCGCACAGUGCAUUCUUUCUCUUGUCAACCCAUCCUCUUCAAAAUGAAUUUGAAUGUCGAAAAAAGCAUUCCUCCUUUGGACGUCAGUACUAUUUCGCGCUCGUUUGAUUGGUGUAUGGCUUGUUCUCAUUUUAUAUUCCUUGCAUGGAAUGAAAUUAUUAUCAGGCAAGUGUUUUCAUGUAUAUGUAGAUGGGUAAAUGAGUGAGGCUUGUUCUCUCGAAGUUUUAGUGGUGUGAGAUCUCUUCACAUAGAUGUUUGGAGCCUAAAAGCAACUGUUGUUAGCCACAUCAGCCAUGUAUGGUUUUAACCUAGGCUUUCACAGCAGCAUUGUGGAGAUCAUUUAACAUUCAUCCAUUGGUUGUAUGUUGAUGAUGCUCAGUUUGUCACUCAAAUAUUCAUUCCAAUUUUUUGUUUUCUUUAUAA